UCGAAGCAAAAAAUUUGUUGCCUUCCUCAUAUUUUCUAUGUAAAUCAAGCUUCUAAUCAUCAAGGUAUUCUCUGGUUUAUGCUUUUUUGAUCCAUAUGCAUAUUGGGUUUUCUCUCUUUCUCAUUUGAUAGCUUCGAUUUGUGAAAUCCACUUCUGAGCUGAUAUUCAAUGUUAGUUUGAAAAUGAUUCUUUCCUUUGGAAGAGAGGUGAACUUGGGCUCAAUGAUCAAUUGUGUUUCAGCUUAGAAAAUUGUGAACUUAGGCUCAAUCACCUAUAGCAUUUAGAAAAGAAGGUAUAUAAAAACGCAAUUUAGGAAAAAAAAAAAAGGAAGUUUAAAAAGGGGUUCCUAAGAUGCAUUUGCUGGUUUGGAAGAGGUAGAUUUUCCUUGUCGUGUAAAUGGGUGAACUCGAGUCUUAUAUAAUUAGGGGUAUUUAAAAAUGACCCAUAAUUUGCUUCAAUUUAUCCGUAGUUAAACUGAAAUUAUACAAGUGUUGAUAGAUUGGGUUGGGUUAUUAUUAUUUUUUCAGAUUGAAUUAUAUGUUUCUUAGUUAAAUCAAUAAUUUGACUCAAACCAAUUCUCAUUAUUCUCUGAUAAUGCUCUUACUCCUUUGCUUUUGUUUUAAUUUUAAUUACCCAAUUAAUGCUUCUCCAGCUUUUAAAAAAAAAUAUACAUCUAAUUGCUUUAGUAGCGAUCAUUUUAUUACUAGCUUGGCUUGAUGCAGCCAUUGAAAGCAUAUUACUCACUUGGUAGACUUAAGGUUGAGUUUCCACUCCAUUUAAUACCUUACACAAUCUUUUUUUUUUUUUAAGAAAAAAACACAACGAAUUUAUAUAUGGAAGAUUUACAAUUUAGUCUCUAGAUAUUGACAUUAUUAACAAGUCAGUCUUUACAUUUUUUAAAAUCUAUUAAAAUAUUCUCUGUCUUUUCUCUCCAUCAACGAAAUAGUCCUUCUGUCUAUUUCUGAUGUUAAAAAUAUAGCAAAAUAUCAAAUUAUCCCCCUUCUUCUCGUCCUCCUUCUUCUUCUCCUUCUAGGGACCAGGGACUAUUUUUGUUGACGCGGCGAAAUGAUAAAAACGUUUUAAUUGAUCAGGAAAAAGAUAAGGACGUUUUAUUAGAUUUCUGAAAAUGUAGGGACUAACUUGUUAAUAAUCACAAUACUCAAAGACUAAAUCAGAGAUUUUAUUUGAAAGCAAAAUUGGGUUUUAAAAUUUUUUUCUCUCAUCUUUCAUUUAUUUUUAAUGAAAAAGAGGACGGAAAAACUAUUUUAUUGACGGAGAGAAAAUAUAAGGACGUUUUAAUGGGUUUCUGAAAAUGCAGAGACUGAUUUGUUAAUAAUAAAACCGCGAUCACAGCCGCGGUCGGGGAUAACGGAAACAGGCCUGGCGCUACGCAAAUUUUUCAAAUCAAUUUGCAAAGUUCAUAAAAUGAUAUGAUAUCAAUAGAUUUAAUUCAGAACAAUGUAUACAAAUAUAUAAUAAACAUAAAUAUAUCAAAUAUAUACUAUUUAGCUUAAAUUAAAUACCAUAUGGGAAAUUACCAACCUCACUACCACCAAAAAGAACGUUGUGCAGGUUCUUGUUGGUCUUGACUUUGGCUUUCUGAACUUUGAUCAUUAAGGUGAUGCUGCUGAUGUUGAUAGUAUUGUUGUGGAUCAAAACUGAAUAAGGAACCACCACCCAUAAUAUCAUUAGGAUCACCAUAAGUUGGUUGAGGGUACGAUGAAGCUGACUUUGCUCCUGAUAAGGGGUAAUAUGAAUAUGUAAGAGGAUAAUUUGUUGGAUAUGGCACCCCUCUAAAUUGGCCAUAGAGCCCAUAAUUUGAUGAAGUAUCUUCAGAUGAUGAGCUACCACUUAGUCCACCACCAUACAUAAAAUUUGGAUUAUACGUGCAAAAGUCGUAUCCAUAAUUUAAUGAAUCAAUUGACCCCUCAUAUGCAACACCCUUACCCCAUGUUUGGGAUGUUUCAGCACCACCAGUACAAUUAUGAGAGCCUCGUGAUUUUUGAUAUGUACACAUCGGAAAUGGAUCAGAAGCAAUUCUAAUUCCACUUUGUCUUUGAGUAGGUGGAUCUUGUGAACUACGACUACCACCUCCUUCAACUGUUGUUCCUCUUCCACCUUGAUCACCACCACCAUCAUCAUCAUCACCAGCACCACCUUGUUGUCCUUGAGUUUGAGUGGCAGAUUCAGACUGUGAUGGAGCAUUUUUAUCAAUACCCACCUCUUCACCAUCCAACCAUGGAUUUGGUUGCCCAUCAAGCAAUAGAGAUUCACUUUCCUCCAACCAAGAGUUUAGCGGAUCAUCUUUGUAGAAAAAUAAUAUUUUGUUGUUAUAUUUCACAAUAGAGAUUACAACCUAUUUAUACAUGAGAGAUGAUAUCUAAACAGUAAGGAAAAUCAAGUCUAUGAUUAUACAAUUCUAAGAUUAAGCAACUGAUCCAUCUAUCAAUAUUUAGGUCCUAUAUUAACAUAUUUACUUCCUAUAACCUAUAACAAUCUUCUUCAAAAAUAUAAUCUAAAUUAAGUGGAUCGUAGCUCCUGUCUAACUCUUGUUGGUUUUUUCUUGUCACAUUUCUAAUUUUCAGGCUCAUAUUGUAGUGCACAAAGACAAGUGCAUGUAAUUUUUGAUACUUCAAUCUGUUUCUUGUCUUUGUGUGAAUGAGAGAAAAUGUGCUUCAAUUUCUCUCACACUUUGAAGCCGAAGUUGUUUGGCGGCUGCAAAAUAUUUUUAAAUUUUUAUUAUUUUAAUGAACUUAGUUGUAUAAAAAUGAAUGAACAAAAAUAAUUUAUACUUAUUUUAUAAACUUAGUACCUGGAUUAGUGAAUUUAAUUGCCUUUUGCGCUAAAACUGUUCCAAAACUCUCUAUUUUGUCUCAAAAAAGUAAGGUCUACAUGUUCCAAAUUCCAGUAAGUUAACUUCAAGUUCAAAAGCAACAGUUCAAGCUUCAAGCCUUCAACUACACUAACUUAGUAAUACUUAAGAAUUAGCUUGUUACUUACUUUAUCCCCCUCUAGACGUUGAAUCACAUUUUUGAGACCCAACAUGAUCUAUCCUGCAAAAUAAAAUAUGAAGAUAGAUAAUAAGUUAUCUCUUAAUUUAAUAAUUUAAUUUUCUAACGGACAAUAGACUCUAAAGCAAUGAAGUUUGUGGCAAAUCUAGUGAUGCCAGGUCGAAUAAUAUCUCUAUUGUCCAUGAGUUUCUUUAUAUAAUUGACCACCCUAUUAUGAUUAUAAAUAAAUUGCGUAAUUACAUUGGCUUGGUCAAUUAUUUUUUUCACACUCUUCUUCUUUCCAAUAUCUUUUAAAAUCAAAUCAAUACAAUGAGCACUACAAGCAGUCUAAUAUAGUUUAGGGAAUUUCUCCCUCAGUUUCUUCCCUCCUAAUUUAAUGACAGCUUCUUUGUCCGUUACCACUUGGACAAUUUUUUGAAAGCCUAUUUCUUCCACUACUUCUUUCAUAAUUUUAAAAUAGUAUUCUCCAUCUUUAUGUUCCACAUUGGAUGCAUCAAUAGACUUGUGAAACACUGUGCCUCUGUUUGAGUAGACAAGGAAAUUUACUAUACUCAUACGUGUUGGCCCACUCCAACCAUCACACAUUAUAGUAACUCCCCUCUUCUUCCAUAUCCCAUCAAAUGAGACUAUAUAUUUUUUCAUCUCAUUAUACUCAUUUUUCAUAUAAACUUCUGCAAUUUCAUAAGCACUAGGUGGAGAUACAUUAGGCCCGAUUUCUGCUGUUGUUCUUAAAAGUGGCUUUGUCCACGGUGACUCAACAAUACUGAAGAGAAGCCUAUUAUGUAUAACAAAUUUCCAAAUGCUUUCAACAUUUUCUCCUUUUGUGUCUUCAACCAUUUAGUUUUUAACUUUGGCUGCUUCUGUUGAGCUCUGUUUCUCUCUAUUUCAACUUCUGUGCAGCCAACCGAGAUGCCGAUGUAGAUACUUCUGCAUAUCUUUGUGCUUCUCUACCUCUCUCACGUGUAGUAGCAGAACGACCCAACACUUGUCCGCUACUACCACCAACAUCAAAUCUAGAUCCAGUUCUCCUUCUAAAUUCAUCCUCUUCCAACUACCUCAUGCUCGUCCGUCUCGCCAUUUCCAUUUUGAUGUCCUCCUCCUCCUCCUCCUCCUCCUCUUCAUCAUCUUCGAUUCUAUUCAUAUUUAUAAUUUCUUCUUCUAAUUCUGUUUCUCUUUUUUCUUUAUUCUUUUUAGCUAAUUGGUAUUCUUUCAGGAUAGCGGCUAUAUCCUUCUUAACUUGAGAAGAAACUUUCUGACAACCUGCAAUUUGAUCAGGUAUGUUAGCUAAGUGCAAAUUCAAUAUUGUUAUUCCACCUGUGACUUUUCUCCCACAGAAAUUGCCAAUCAUUUCUCCUUUUUUCCUUUUAGGUGGUACAAACUUUCACCCAAUAUCAUCACUUAGUUUACCACCCCUUGAGUAAAACCAGAACCACUUCCACGAGGCAUUUUCAAUGCAAAUAUUUAAUAACUGUUCAUAAAAAUGAAAAGAUAUCAAAUGUGAAAUACAUGGAAGGCAAAUAUUUUUUUUCAUAACUAAUAUUUUAAUUUUAACCUAACUCUAUACAUUAAUUUCUAUUUAACACAAAUUAUAUAGAUAUGAAAUUUUUAAUUGUCCAACUACAAGUCUUAGUCUACCACUAUUAAUUUAACUCAAAACUAACACUUUAAUCCACAAAAAUUAAACAAAGAAAAAAAAUACAGCAACUAAAAAUAAUUUAAUUUCAUAAUAAUUUCUGAAAAAUAGUCUAAACUAACAAAAACCAUACAAUUUUUAUAGAUCGGACAAAUUAAUAACCUCAAAGUAUAUUUUUAACUUAAAACUACAAAUUUAAUCUACAAAAAUUAAAUAAAAAAAUACAGCAGCUCUGAUUCCUCUGAAUUCUGAAAGUAAAAAUAUACUAUUAAUUUAACUCAAACCUAACACUUUAAUCCACAAAAAUGAAACAAAAAAAAAUACAGCAACUAAAAUUAAUUUAAUUUCAUAAUAAUUUCUGAAAAAUAGUCUAAACUAACAAAAACCAUACAAUCUUUAUAGAUCGGACAAAUUAACAGCUCAAAUCAUAUUGUUAAUCCAAAACUACAAAUUUAAAAAAAAAACAAAAAAUACAACAACUGUGCAAGUAAAAAUACACAGAACUAUUAACUCAUCUUUUAGAAGAAAUUUCCUUGAAAUGAAAUAGUUAAUGGUAGAUUUAAGCUUGUAAAUGAGAAAUGUUUAGGGAAGCUUGAGAUUGAGAUAUUUGAGAGAAAAGGAAGAGAAAGUUAGAAAAAACUUAGUUGCAAAAUGAGUUUCUGGCUUUCUGCUGUACUGCUUGCUGGAGAAGAAGGAAAAAAGUGGUCAAAUUCAAUGCAUAGCUAGCUUCUGAAAUCUGAAUAUAUUCUCUGAAAUUCUGAAUUUUGUGUUGGGAUAAAGUAACGGCCGUUACCGUUACAUAACUAUUGGUAACGGCCGUUACCAUUACGUAACUGUCGUUACGGACGCAACUCAAGGGGGGCCUUUACCUUGAUACCGUUACAUAACGGCCAUUACGUAAUACCAUGAUAAUAGUAAUACUCAAGGACUAAAUAGUAAAUCUCCCUUUAUAUAUAUGUAUGUUUCUAUAUACACACACCCCUUGUUGAUAGAGUUGGAAGAUACAAAUUCUUUUCAAGCAAUUUAUUUGUCUAUGAAUUUUUUACAUUUAGAAAAUAAUUGUCAAAGUGCUCUGUCUCCCGUUUGAUUUGCAAACACCAAAUUGCUAUUUUCUCUUUCUAAUUUCCUUUGUUUGUGUGGUUCAUUUGUUAUUACAAUUGAUUUCUUUUUUUUAGUUUAUCAGGAGACGAGUGAGCCUCUUCAUUACCGAUAUUCUAACUGUCUAUCAUCAUGGCAUCUUCCUUCACAGCUCGAAAAUGGAAGUAUGAUGUGUUUCUUAGCUUUAGAGGAGAGGAUACCCGUGAUAAUUUUACUAGCCAUCUCUAUGAUGCUUUAUCUUGUAAAAAAAUCAAGACCUUCAUAGACAAUGACCUUGAAAGAGGGCAAGAAAUAACCCGAGUCAUUUUGAGAACAAUUGAAGAAUCAAUGAUUUCUAUAAUCAUUUUCUCCAAAACUUAUGCAUCUUCUCCAUGGUGCUUGGAUGAAAUGGUGAAAAUACUUGAGUGCAGGGAAGUUCAUGGUCAAACAGUUUUACCAAUUUUUUAUCAUGUAGAUCCUUCCGAUGUUGAAGGUCAAAGUGGAAGUUUUGGAGAUGCAUUUAUUGAACUUGAGAAGAACUUCAAGGAGAAAAUGGAAAGGAUGACCAAGUGGAGGGCUGACUUGAUGAAAGUUUCAAGGAUAUCUGGAUGGGAUUCCCGGGUUAUAAGGUGUGUGUCAAUUUCUUUUCAAAUGGCUCCAGAAACAUGUCUUUCUCUUUUAAGAAAUAUGAAAAGGGAAAAAAAAAACUUGUUUUGAUAAUUUUUUUUUUUUCAUAACUAGACAGUAAAAAAAAAACCAGAAUAAAUAGCAAAUGGACCCUAAAAUAGCCUUUUGCUAGAUAAAUCUCUGUCAUAGUUCAUGAAACCCACAUGAGUUGAACUAGCGAACGAGUGUAUUAAAUACUUGCUUGUAUAUGUUGUUAGGUUUACAGAAAUUGGCCUUGUUAUGUCUAUACCAUCUCAACCAUUAAAUUCAAAUUUAGUGGUUGAGAUUCAUUUUGUAAUAUAUAGCCAACCAUUUCUAUGAACCAAAAAGGUUUUCCUUUCACCAAAAUAUCCGUUAGAGUUGUAGCUCUAACAGAGGGAAGGAAGAGAGAAUAGGAAAGAGGGUGGGAGAAGAAGAAGAAGAAGAAGAAGAGAAGAAGAGUGUUCGGAUAAGAGAAGAGAAGGGAAUGAGAGAGAAUAAGCUCAGUUUGUAUUAGUAUUUCUAAAUGCCUUUCAUGUGUAUUCCACUGCGAUUAUAUUAGCCCAGUAACUAACUUGACAGUUGUACUACCUCUAGCUAUUACAAACUUCUAGCUAUAACAACCCAUUCAACUAUAGUACUUUCCCUCCAAAAGUCUUUAUACAUUUUAUUCCCUCUUAUUUCUAUUUUUCUUCCUAUAAUACGUGACAAUACUCCCCUGGUGGAGAACUUUCUUGAACCCAAGAAAGGGAGAUACCAGGAAACUGAACAACAAUGAAUGACUUGUCUUCUCAAAUGGCAUCUUUAGGAGGAAGAUUGUCUCACUUAAUUAAUCCCUGUCUAACAUGUUCUCCUCCUCUGAGAACAGUUCUAGUCUACAACACCCUCUCUGGAGCCACUAUGAAACUGUCAUCCUGAAUCUGUGGUAGUGCUGUGGAAAUACUAAUAGAGUCCCCAAUCUUUUUUUCUUGAGUAAAAGGCACAUGGAAAACAAGAUGAAGUGAAGAUUUAGGUGGUAAUUCCAGCUUAUAAGAUGAAGGGCCAUAAUAGUUGGCAGAUAGCUUUAAGGAUAGCUUGAGUGCUAAUAAUGUUUGUCUAUAAGGCUGAAGCUUUAAAUAUGCCAAGUCCCCCACAAGAAAUUUCUUUCAGACCUCUUGGUAUCUUCCUGUUGUUACAUUCUGUUUUGAGCAAUUUCUAAAUUUUCUUUCAAGAGUUGCACUAGCCCUUACCUGUCUUGUAGAAAAUUAUCCACAACAUCUACCAUUGUGCCAUCUGGUAAUUCCAUAGAAAAACUCGUAGGAGGAUAUCCAUAUAGUCCUUGAAAAGGAAACAUCUUAAGAGCACUAUGAGGAGUGGAAUUAUACCACCACUCAGCCAUAGGAAGCCAAUGAAUCCAAGUAGUGGGUUUCAAGUGAACCAUGCACUUUAAGUAAUUUUGUAAGUAUUGAUUAACCCUUUUAGUUUGCCCAUCAAAUUAAGGAUGAUGGGCUGGACCAAAGAGUAGUUUGACUCCCAAGGACUUAAACAGCUCUUGCCAAAACAAACUGGUAAGGGCCUUAUCCUCGUCAGAUACUAUGAUCUAGGGAAUGGCAUGCAACUUGUAAAUGUGAUCCAUGAAUACUUUAGCCACUUUAGGAGCAGAGAAGGGACGAGUUAGAGGGAAAAAAUGGGCUAGUUUUGUAAGUCUGCAUAUCACCACUAAAAUAGUCUCCUCUUUUGACUCUGGAAGCCCUUCAAUGAAAUCCAUAUCUAUUUCUUGCCAUGCCUGGGUAGGAAUUGGCAAGGGUUGCAAUAAUCUUGGAUAGGCACAGGUUUCACUCUUGCAUCUUGCACAUGCAUCUAGCAAAUAAGUAGCAUGGACCCCAGAAUGCCCUCCCACCAGGGAGUUGUGGUAAGUUUCCAGUAGCUGCUUUCUUAAGGUUGUAGAAGCUCCAACAUACAUUCUGUUUUUAUAGAACAACACUCCAUUCUUCAGCUGGUAAUUAUUGAGAGCAGUAGGGGCAGUUGAUAAUUGUUGUAUCAAUUCAGUGGCCUUUCAAUCCCCCUCAUAACUGUGCUCCAAGUGUUGCAUCCAAGAUGGAACCACCACUGCUUGCAAGUGAUAUAGUUGUUGCUCAAUAGAACUCAUAGGCCUCCUAGAAAGUGCAUCUACUACUUUAUUCUCUAUUCCCCUUCUAUAGAGAAUUUUAUCGUCAAGACUAAGCAGCUUUAAAAUUACUCUCUGCUGUAGAUUAGUAUACGGUCUUUGUUCCAGGAGGUAUUUAAUACUUUCAUGGUCUGUUUUGAUAAAAAAAUUGCAUUUCUUCUAAAUAAUGCCUCCAUUUGCCGACUAUAAAGGUAAUAGCUAGUAACUUCUCAUAAACAGACGAGCCUUGAUUUUUGGAUCCAGGCAUGGCAUUAUUGACACUGCUCUUCAUUUUGAGUCCCCUUAUGGCUACCCUCUACCUCCUCUCUCUUUUCAUCUUAGGAAGAAUGCAAUAUUGACACUGCUCUUCAGUUUGCUCAAAGAGAUAGCAAAUUUCACAACUCAUUAAAGACAACUUGCUUACUGCGCAAAGCAAGAUGAAGCAGCAAACAGAUAAGAAAAGAACAAAGAGGGAAUUCCAAGAAGGAGCUUAGAUGUAUUUGAAGAUCCAACUCUACAGACAAACCUUCCUAACAGUUAGGAAGCACUUAAAUUUGUCUGCUAGAUACUAUGGCCCUUACCAAGUACCGAAGAAAAUUGGAGCAGUAGCCUAUAAACUCUCACUUGCUCCCAAUGUUCAGCUUCACUCUGUGUUCUGUAUUUCACUAUUCAAGGAAAAAGUGGGAGAGCGAAUACAGAUAAAUCAGAAGCUUCCAUCCUUUUACCAAGAAGCAGCCAUAAUUGCCCCUGAGAAAGUCUUAAAGUUUAGAGUCAUCCUUCGAGAUGGAAAGAGGGUUCCUCAAGGACUCAUUAAAUGGCUGAAUUUGUCAGAUGAGGAGGCAACCUGGGAAGACAAAUCCUUUAUUUUGCACUAGUUUCCACAUUCAGCUCUUCUUGGGGACAAGAAGAAUCCCUUGGGGACAAAAAAAAUCUCUUGGGGAGGGUAUUGUAACGUACCACAGAAGGAAGAAGAAGGGAGAAUAAGCUAUUGUAAUUGUUGUAAUUGAAUAAAGGAAUUGGAGGAAAAAAAUGUUUAGUUAGAAGGUAGUUAGUCUUGUACACAUAUAAAAGGAGAGAACUCUACUCUGUGAAGGCAUUUGAGAAUGAUCAAUAAUAUCUCUUCCUAUCUUCUCACCUCACUCUCUCUCUCUUUCUCACCCUUCUUUCCUCAUCUCCUUUCUAAUUCUUCCCUCAUCUAAGUCUAUUCUCCUUCUCAUCCCCAAUUCUUCUUCUUUUCUCAUCUCUAUUUUCUAUUCCCAGCCAUUGUGCUAACACUGUACUACCUCUAGCUAUAACAAACUUCUAUCCAUAACAAUCCCUAUAACAAUCCAUACAGCUAUAGUAUUUUCCCACCCAAAGUCUUUAUGCAUUUUAUUUCCUCUUAUUUCUAUAUUUCUUCUUAUAAUAAAUGACAAUAUCUUUUGACCUUUUUUCUUAAUUCAAUAAAAGACUCAAAUGUUCAACAUUCCAUAAUUUAAAACUAAAAUGUUUGAUUGGGAAGUAUUUAAAAGGGGAUUGUAAGUGUACUUGUUCAGUUUAUUUGGAAUGAAAACAUUAAUUUUUAUUAAAGAAAAUAUGUUGUAAUAUUCCCGAUUUGUUUUAAACAUUGUAGAAGGAUAAUAUUUGUUGUAUUUCACAAUAGAGAUUACAACCUAUUUAUACAUGAGAGACGGUAUCUAAACAGGAAGAAAAAUCAAGCCUAUGAUUAUACAAUCCCUAAGAUUAAGCAACUGACCCAUCUAUCAAUAUUUACUUUCUAUAUUAACAUAUUUACUUUCUAUAACUUAUAACACUCCCUCUCAAGUUGGAUCAUAAAUGUUAAUCAUGCCCAAUUUGUUACAUAUAUAAUCAACUCGAGUCCCAUUUGGAGCUUUAGUGAAAAUAUCUCCUAAUUGUUCUCUAGUUCGGAUAUGUCCUUUUGAUAUUAUCUUUUGUUGGACCUUUUCACGAACAAAAUGACAAUCAAUCUCGAUGUGUUUAGUCCUCUCGUGAAAUACUGGAUUGGAGGCAAUGUGGAUAGCGGCUUGAAUAUCACACCACAACUUAGCAGGCACCGAAUUUGUGAACCCAACUUCUUCCAACAGUUGACAUACCCACAAGAUUUCACAAACGGCUUAUGCCAUAGCUCGAUAUUCAGAUUCAGCACUAGAACGGGAGAGCACAUUUUGCUUCUUACUUUUCCAUGAGAUCAAGUUACCUCCCACAAAAACACAAUACCCAGUAGUUGACCUCCUAUCAACUUUCGAGCCUGCCCAAUCAGCAUCAGAAAAGCAUUCAAUAUUUGAGUGCCCAUGGUUACCAUAGAAUAGGCCUCGCCCUGGGGCCCCUUUAAGGUAACAAAGAAUCUGUCCCAGAGCAUCCCACUGGGCAACAGUAGGAGAAGACAUAAACUGACUUACCACACUCACUGAAUAUGCAAUAUCAGGACGAGUCACCGUCAAAUAAUUCAGCUUGCCAACUAAUCUUCUAUACCUUCCAGAAUCUGCAAAUGCAAAUGGCUCACUGUCUUCUGUGGUAAGUUGAAGGUUAGGGGUCAUUGGGGCACUACACGGCUUAGCAUCCAAUUUUCCUGUUUCUGCCAACAAAUCAAGAACAUAUUUUCUUUGAGAUAAGAAAAUGCCUUUCUUACACCACAUGACUUCGAUUCCCAAGAAAUAUUUCAAGGAACCCAAACCCUUUAUAUGAAACUGUGUUUUAAGAAAUUCUUUUAGGGAUGUGAUGCCAGCAAUGUCACUUCCUGUAAUAACGAUAUCAUCCACAUAUACUACAAGCAUAAUUACUCCACUAUCAGAAUUUCUAUAAAACACUAAGUGAUCACACUUACUCAUCUUCAUUCCAAACUGUUGGACCACCUCACUAAGCCUGUCAAACCAUGUCCGAAGACUCUGUUUCAAGCCAUAAAGGGAUUUUCGAAGUCUACAAACCUUACCUGACUCCCCCUGAGCAACAAAACAAGGUGGUUGCUCAAUAUAAACCUCCUCCUGAAGAUCACCAUGAAGAAAAGCAUUUUUAAUAUCUAGUUGAUGCAAAGGCCAAUCAUGAGUAGCCGCCAAGGAAAUAAACAAUCGGACAGAUGCGAGCUUGGCAACUGGGGAGAAUGUAUCAGAAUAGUCAACUCCAUAAGUUUUUGUAUAACUUUUGGCCACUAAACGGGCCUUGAGGCGAGCAAUAGAUCCAUUAGGGUUUACUUCCACUGCAAACACCCUUUUGCACUCAAUAGCCCGCUUUCCUGGGGGCAAGGACAUCAACUCCCAAGUACCAUUAGUGUCAAGGGCCAUCAUUUCCUCUUCCAUUGCAGCACGCCAACCAGGAUGGGACAAAGCCUCAAUAACAGUUUUGGAAAUUGAAAUAGAAUCUAAAGCAGUGACAAAACAACGAGAAGAGGAGGAUAAUUGAUCAUAAGAGACACAAGAUGAAAUAGGAUAAGUGCAAGUACGUUUACCUUUGCGAAGAGCAAUGGGCAAAUCCAAAUCAGACAGUGAAGGAUCAGUGGGAGCAGGAUCGGUUGACGAAGAAGCGGGUAGCAGAACGGAGUCAGAGUCCUCUAAGCGUUUGGAAUGCACAUGAAAGAUGGGAGGGCAACCUGGCAUAUGAGCGAAAGGUGUAGGAGUAGUCUGAGGAGACAGAGAGUGAACAGUGUAUGACAAGAGGUCAUCUUCCUCCUCCUGGGUAUUAUAAACAGAUGAUGGCAGAAAAAAUAGAGUGGACUCAAAGAAUGUUACAUCUGCAGACACAAGAUACCGAUUCAGAUCAAGAGAAAAACAACGAUACCCUUUCUGACAUCGAGAGUAGCCAAGGAAGACACAUUUGAGUGAUUUGGGAUCCAAUUUAGUAACCUGUGGACGAACAUCACGAACAAAAUAAGUACAACCAAAGAUACGUGGCUCAAUAGGAAACAAAGAUUUAGUGGGAAACAAAAUGUUAUAAGUGAUAUCACCAUGAAGGAUGGAGGAAGGCAUGCGAUUAAUCAAAAAACAAGCAGUGAAUACAGCAUCAGCCCAAAAAUAUUUAGGUACCUUCAUUUGGAAUAAGAGGGCUCUGGCUACUUCAACAAGAUGUCGAUUUUUUCUUUCAGCAACUCCAUUUUGUGAAGGAGUGGCAACACAAGAGGACUGAUGAAGAACCUCUUUUUGUAACAAAUAAGAUUGAAAUUCCCCAGAGAGAUACUCUUUAGCAUCAUCACUUUGAAAUAUACGGAUGGAAGUAUUGAAUUGGGUUUGGAUUUCAGCAUAAAAUGCACAAAAAAUAGAAAAUAAUUCUGAACGACUUUUCAUUAAAAAUAACCAAGUAGUACGAGAGAAAUCAUCAACAAAAGUAACAAAAUACUUAAAGCCAGACUUAGACACAAUAGGACAAGGACCCCAAACAUCUGAAUGGACUAACUCAAAGGGGGACAAAGUCCGUUUAUUGACUCGAGACAGUGUAGGUAAACGAUGAUGUUUGGCAAAUUGACAAGACUCACAAUCUAGAAUAGACAAAGAAUGAAACUGUGGAUAUAACUUCUUCAAAGCCGAGAGAGAAGGAUGCCCCAAACGACAAUGAACAUCAAAAGGUGUUAAACGCGUGGAGCAUAUCAUAGAUCGAGGAGAUCGAGGUAGUUGCUAAUCCAAGAUGUAAAGACCCUCUGACUCACUCCCUCUACCAAUAAUCUACUUCGUCGAAAGAUCCUGAAAAAUACAGUGAUCAGGAAAGAAUGACACACAACAAUUCAAUGCACGAGUGAGUUUACUCACGGAAAACAAAUUAAAUGCGAACUUAGGGAGACAUAACACAGAGGAUACAGAAAGAGAAGGGGUUAAGUUGACAUGACCAGAACCCAUGACAGAAGAUUUAGUGUCAUCAGUAAGAGUAACAUAAGAAGGCGAUAUAUGAGACUCAAGAUUGGACAAAAGGGUAGAAUUACCUGACAUAUGAUCGGUAGCACCAGAAUCAAUAACCCAUUUGGAGGAUGAAGACACAAGACAUGCAGUAGAAUUACUUAACUCAGCAAUUGCAGUGAUAGAGGAGGAAUUAGAGGAUUUUAGAGAUGCCUGGUAUUGGAUGAAUUGUGCAUACUCAUAUGCAGAUAUCAAAAUUCCUUGAUUGGAAAAUCCAUUCAAUUUGUGUUCCGUGAUUUUAGUCAUCAUAGGAAUCACAUCAGUUACGGUGGUGGUUUUAACUUCAGCCAUAAGGACAACCAAUCCAAAACGAUAGCAAUAAAAGAAACACAGAAUCAGAAAACAGUACCCGGCGUGAACAGUACCACGUGAACAGUAUCGAUGAACAGGAUCCGUGAACAGUACCGAUGACUAGUACCGUGAACAGUGCCGAUGAACAGUACCCCCGAAUAUGAAUAGUACCUAAAACACCUCCACCCAACACCCUAAUGGCAAAUAAACCUCAGAUCUGAUAAAGGAAUGGUGUGGCGACUCCGGCGAUGGUGAGAUCCAAAUGUUACCCUUUAUGGGUAACCCAAAUAAAUAGAGCCCUAGAGAAAACUUGACGAGAGAAAAAAUAUAAUUUCUACGAGAAUGGCUCUGAUACCAUAAAGAAGGAUAAUAUUUGUUGUAUUUCACAAUAGAGAUUACAACCUAUUUAUACAUGAGAGACGGUAUCUAAAUAGGAAGAAAAUUCAAGCCUCUGAUUAUACAAUCCCUAAGAUUAAGCAAUUGACCCAUCUAUCAAUAUUUACUUCCUAUAUUAACAUAUUUACUUUCUAUAAUUUAUAAGAAACAUGAAAGAUGGGCCCUAAACUGUUGAAUGGCUAGAAUUUAUGUUAACUAAUGGCUUGCGGAUAAUGAAAGACGGCAAAUUUUCCAAAAAAAGAAAACAUCUACUCAACUGAAAUAGUAUUUUAUUGCAGAAACACAAAUGAAGAACCUAGACAAAAAGAAGAUGUGAAUUUAAUGGGCCAAACAUGGAAAAAGAAGAAGAAAAAAAAAAAGAAAAGGAUUGCAAAUUUGCCUCCUACUGGAAUAUCUAAUUAAAGUUUAGAGCUAAGAGUGCUAAUCCAAUGAGGGUUUCAAAAACGUGAUAUAAAAAACGGAUCAGGAUUUUACCGGAAAAAAAGUUUCAGUAUUAGAACUUUUGAUGCAGUUAAUUCUCUUGUUGUAAAAUUGUGUGUUUAUGAAAGAAAAUGUUGAUAUUAAAAACCUUUCAUUAUCUUUUUUUUUUUUUCUUACUGCACUUUUUGUCUCAAACUUCCAAUUUUUUUAGGCCUGAAGCUAAACUUGUGAAAGAAGUUGUGGAACAUAUUUUGAGGAAAUUGGAUCAUGCAUUCUCAGGAGAUUUGAAGGGUCUGAUUGGAAUACACUCGCACAUUAGACAGAUUAAAAAUUUAUUAUGCAUAGGGUUGCCAAAUGUUCGUAUUGUAGGAAUUUGGGGCAUGGCUGGCAUAGGCAAAACGACUAUUGCUAGAGCUUUUUUCAACACUAUCUCAAAUCAAUUUGAAGCUUGCACUUUUCUUGAGAAUGUAAACGAAGAAUCAAAACAAUUUGAAGGGCUACGUCGUUUAAGAGAAAAGCUUCUUUCUGAAUUACUAGAGGAGGAAAAUCGACAUAUUGUCACUUCCAACAUAGAAUCUGUUUCCGUUAAGGACAGGAUCCGCCACAAAAGGGUUUUGCUUGUCCUUGAUGAUUUGAAUGAUGUGGAUCAGCUGGAAGCCCUCAUUGGAGGAUGCGAUUUUGCUUUGGGAAGUAGAGUUAUAGUGACAUCUAGAGAUAGGCAAGUUCUAAAGAAUGGAGUUGAUGAAAUAUAUGAAGUUGAGGGAUUAAAUGAUGAUGAAGCUCUUCAACUGUUCAGUUCCAAUGCUUUUAAGAAAAGUUAUCCCACUUUUGAUAGAUUGGAGCUAUCAAAUAGGGUGGUGAACUAUGCUCAGGGAAACCCCUUAGCUCUUAAAGUUUUGGGUUCUUUCUUAUUUGACAGAAGGAGAGAAGAUUGGGAAAACACACUGGAUAAACUUGGAAGAAUUCCUCAGGCUAAAGUUUUUCAUUUGCUGAGAACAUGUUUUGACACGCUUGAUGAUGAUGAGAAAAAUAUAUUUCUGGAUAUUGCAUGUUUUUUCAAGGGGCAACAAAUUGAUUUUGUAAGGAGAGUACUAGAUGGUUGUGGUUUCUCAGCAGGAAUUGGAAUUACUGUUCUUCUUGAUAAAUCUCUUAUUACUAUCCUAGAUAACAAGCUGGGAAUGCAUAAACUGUUGCAAGAAAUGGCUCAUGAAAUUGUUCGCCAAGAAUCUGUUAAAGAGCUGGGCAAGCGCAGUAGAUUGUGGAGAGCUUGUGAUGUCUAUCAAGUCUUAACAAAAAAUCUGGUAAGAGCCAUAUUCAUUCUUGAUUUUUAUGCUUGCAUGUAUUAUAUUUAUGUAUCUGUCAAAAUAAACUGAGUACAUCAGUGUAACCUUGCUUUAUAUAUAUGCUCAUCCGUGAUCUUCAGGGAACUGAAAAUGUUGAAGGGAUAUGGUUAGACACAUCUAAAAUGAGAGAAAUGGAUGUGAGUUCAAGAGCCUUUGUGAGGAUGGAUAAUCUUAGAUUGCUCAAAAUCUACAAUUCUAGAGUUAGAAAUAAUUGUAAACUGCACCUUCCUCGUGGCCUUAAGUUCCUUUCUGAUGAGUUGAGGUACAUCCAUUGGGAUGGAUACCCUCUGAGCUCUAUGCCAUCCAAUUUUCAGGUGGAGAACCUUGUUGAGCUAAACCUGGCUUACAGCAAAGUUAAACAGCUAUGGACAGGAGUACAGGUACGCGAUAAUAUUUUUCCUGAUUCCCUUUUUACAUCAUUUCCUUUUAAAAGUGCAGAUUAGUAUGGGGCAUGUGCUAAUUUGUUGUAGCCUGUUGUAUUGUUAUUGCAGAAUCUUGCAAGUUUGAAAGAUAUUAACCUUAGCAAUUCUGAGCACUUAAAUACUUUCCCUGAUCUCUCACUGGCAAAGAAUCUUGAGAGAGUAAAUUUUGAGUUCUGUACUAGCUUGGUAGAAGUUCCCUCAUCUAUUCAGUUUCUAGAGAAGCUUACUGAUUUGAAUAUGAGAUGCUGCACAUGCCUUGAGAGUUUUCCUACAGGUAUUAAUUUGAGAUCACUUAAGACUCUUUACCUUUCCGGCUGUUCAAAUCUUAGGAAGUGUCCUGAGAUAGGAAAGAACAUAGUGUAUUUAAACUUAAAUGAGACUGCAAUAGAAGAACUUCCGGAAUCAAUUGGCCAUCUCAGUGAUCUCAUAGCAUUGAAUUUGAAGGAUUGUAAGCAAAUCAGGCAUCUUCCAAGAAGCAUGCGUUUGUUGAAAUCCCUUGUGAUUAUUGAUCUCUCUGGCUGCUCAAAUAUCAUUAGGUUUCCCGAUUUUGCAACACGUAUAGAAUUCUUGUACUUGGGUGAAACUGCAAUAGAAGAACUUCCCUCUUCAAUUGGUUGUCUCUCAAGGCUCUCUCGUUUGGAUCUAACAAACUGCAAAAGGCUUAAGAACCUUCCUUCUACCAUUUUUAAGUUGGCAUCUCUUGAAAAUCUUAUCAUCUCUGGCUGCUCAAGUAUUACUGAGAUUCCAGAGAUGUCGAGUAAUAUAAGGAAGUUGUUUAUAGAUGGGACAUCAAUAGAAGAAAUUCCCUCAUCAAUAGAGUGUUGUUUUGAUCUUGUUGAGUUGAACCUGCAAAACUGCACAAGAUUUCGUAUUCUUCCAAGCGGUAUUUGUAGGUUGAAAUCUCUGCAAAAGCUUAAUCUCUCAGGUUGCUCCAUGUUUGAGAAUUUUCCAGAAGUUUUGGAGGUUAUGGGAUCAUUGAGGUAUCUAUAUUUAGAUGGAACAGCCAUACAAGAGUUACCUUCACCAAUUGAAAAUUUGAAAGGGCUUACCUGCUUGGAAUUAAGGAACUGCAGAAAUCUACAGGGAUUGCUGGAAGGAAUCUCUGGUGUAAAAAAUUUCAGCAGAUUACCUGAAAGGUGGGUGGAUAUUCAAUAUCUACGAAAGCUCAACGUAAAUAAUUGCAGUUUAUCACAUGUGCCUUAUUGCAUUGGCUGCUUAUCCUCACUAGAAGCAUUAGAUCUAAGUGGAAACCCUUUUACAUACAUGCCUGAAAGCAUUAGUAAGCUCUUUGAGCUUCAGUACCUUGGUUUAAGAAAUUGCCAGCAGCUAAUAUCAAUACCAGAUCUUCCGCCCCAGCUUACAAAAUUAGAUGCACAUUUUUGCGUUUCGCUGAGAUCAGUAUCACUUCAUUCCAAUGGAGCCGAGGGAAACAUUUUUGAUUUCCAUUUCACUAAUUGUGACAAGUUAACUUCAGUUGCAAGGCACAACAUCAUGGCAUAUGCUCUACGAAAAAUUGAGCUGUACUCCAAAAAACUGCAUUGUCAGGUCUUUCACUCCUCUAAAUUUUUCCCUUUGUUCUUUUCAAUUGACCAUCUCCCUUAUUAAAAUUGCUGCUUUUUCUUAUUUGUGUGCAGAUGCCUUCUGUGUUAGCUGGGGAAUCUAGCUUUUGCAUUCCUGGAAGAAAAAUUCCGAAGUGGAUUUGCCAUCAGAGUGAGGGAUUUUCAACGACAGUUCGACUGCCUUCACAGUGGAGUAAUGGUGAGUUCCUGGGUUUCAUUCUCUGUGCAGUUAUUGCAUUCAAUGACUCCAACAUUGACAACGGUUUCCAAGUGAAAUGUGAAUACCAUUUCAAAGAUGAGCAUGGCAACUGCAGUAAUCUCCAUGGUCAUAUCAGUGGCUGGUAUGGUCGAAGAUAUCUCUGGAAUUACCGCGAAAUCCAAAACGGGGGAGUAUAUCCCAUGUUCUUUGGGUAUGAUCCUUGUGUGGAUGUUAAGAAAAAUGCUCAGUUUCCUAAACACACACAGCUUCUGGUUGAAUUCCAUCCUGAAGAUAUGGAUGGCCAUCCUUUACAUUGUUGCAAGGUUGUCAAUUGCGGGGUACGUAUAUUAUAUGCUGAAGAGGAGAGAUUAUGUCGAUGUUCUUCUCUCCAUCAACAGAUUAAGGAAGCAUUAUCCAAAACAAGGGAUGAAAUUUGCUCCUAUGAAGAUCAAAAUCUAUGGGAGAGCUUUCUGGAACACAAGAAAACCAAAGUUGUUGGGACAAGCUGCAAAAUGUACCAAUGUUUGCUCUGUGAAAGUCACGACUUUGGGUGUUUCGAUGUGGUCGAUGAACAAGAUAUUGAUACUCUUGCAUCUUUAUGAGAAAUUUCAGAUUUAGGCAAUUGUAUGACAUGAAAAAAGAAAAAAUGAGAAUAAGGUGGAGAGAGAGAAAAAAAAAAAGAAGAAUCUAAUACCAGUGGUCAAUUUUAUUUUAAUAUUAUUAAUAUACAUUUCUCCAUCUUCUUCUCUUCCCUUUCCCCCUUUCUCUCUCAGAAAUGACCAGUUUAGAAGCUUCCUUCCUAUCAUCAAUAAGCAAAACCCGUGAACUUUCCAUGCAUUUUCAUAAAUUUGGCUACAACCCUAAGGUGCCUAUAUAUAUAUAAAUCAAUGACCAAGGGUGCAUAUGCUUCUAAGGAAAUUUUAUAAGAGAAAAAAAAUAAGUGUUAAUGAGAUAUAUAGCACAUCUUUAAUAUCUAGUGAUGGGUUGUUUUGGCAAGCGAAACUCUGAAAAUAAACAAAACCCAUAUCAAACACCUGCCAAAGGAACUAAUCCUCCUCGUCAAGCUCAUUAUGGAGGAGCUAGAAAGGCAAAAGUCGCAGCAAACAUAGCCAUGGUGUUGGAGCAGUUACUGCAGGUGUUACUGCUGCAGUCGCUGCAAGUUCAGCCGCUUCUAGUGGUGCUGGUGCUUGUGGUGGAGGUGGUUGCGCCGUUUCAGGCUGUUGAGGAUUGUCUUUGCAACAAUUCAAUUUCUUCUUUAUAUAUUUGUUAAUUACAUAUCAUCUCAUGAGAUUCUAUUAAUUUGUCAUGUUUUUACUUGAAUUUCAGAAAUAAAAAUUAUAGAAGAAAAUAAAAGGAUUGGUUGUAAGAAAUAUAUAUUGUUGUAUAUAUUCUGUGUUUAAUAUAUAUAUUUGAUUAUGGAAUUGUUAUAGUAAUAAUUUUAUUUUUAUUUUUAGCAAUAAAGUUAAUUACAACAAAGAUUUUAUAUUGAUAUAGUAAUAAUUUUAUUUUUAGCCUUAAAGUUAAUUAGUUAUUAUGACUAAAAUAAAAAGUAUUAGGAGACCAAUGAUUAUAUAUAAAGGAUAUCAUAGAAUUUUAAAAAUAAAAAUCUUAACAAAUAAUUGAUUUUUAAAUUGAUCCCUAAUUAUUACUAUUAAUUUAUAAAAAAAUUAGUUUAUAAAUAAUUGUAAUAUUAGUGCAUUAAUUUAAAAAGUAUAGCAACUUAUUUGUAAAUAAGUAUACUGCUUAAGGACCAAUUUAUAAAUUUAUGUGUGCUUAAUCAUAAAUAAUAAUUAUAAUAGGGAUAAAUUAGUAAAAGUUAAUAAGUGAAUUGUAAAAAAAAAUAAAAAUAUAAACUAAAGGACUAAACUGUAACUUUUACUAAACUUAGUUUAUUCUUUUAUAUUAAAAAUAUAAUAAAUGAAAUUUUAGUCAUUUUUAUACAAUUAACCGUAAUUUUAACUGUAAAUCUAAUGAUAAUUUAUAUGUUUAUUUAAAUGUUAAAAUGUCAAUUGGUAGAUUUUAAAAACAUAUAGAUUACAACAAAAUAAUUUAUUAAACUAUAAAGACAACUGAAAUUUAUCUAAUUAAUAAUUAUAAAAUCUAAAAAAAAUUUAAAAAACAUAUAAAAACUACAUUAUAACGUUGACGGUAAUAAUGCAGAUACCAAUAAGACGAAAGAAGCUAGAUAAUAAAUGGAUUGUUUCUUACCAUCCAUAUCUCUUAACAAUAUGCAACUAUCACAUAUAUGUGCUAGCUUAAAGGAAGUUAAAUGUUUGUAUAAGUACAUCUAUAAAGGACAUGAUAAGAUCUCAAUUUGCAUGUCCCAUGAAGAUGAACCAAUGGAUGAAAUACAAUAAUUUCAAGAUACAAGAUGAGUGUCAGCUCAAGAAGCGAUAUGGAAAAUAUUUGAAUUUGGGCUCAAUGAAAUAAACCCUUCAGUUUUAAAUCUACAGUUACACUUGCCAAAUUAGCAAAUGGUAUCAUUUUAGAAAAUCAGAAUCUUAAGCAUGUUAUGCAAUGGGAUCAUAUAUCAAGAACAAUGUUAACAAAGUUCUUAAGAACCACUUGAUGAAGAAGCAAGAGGACUAUUGUAUAGGGAAUUUUCAGAACAGUAUGUAUGGAGUCUAAACAAAAAUCAAGGCAAGUAAUAGGUUGUGUAAAUGCAGUGAAUCCGAUAGAGGGUGAAAGAUACUAUUUGAGAUUGCUUUUAAACUAUAUAAGAGGUCCAAAGUCAUUUGACGAUCUAUUAACAAUAGAAAAUGUCCAAUGCUCGAUUUAAAGAGUCAGCUAUUAGAAGAGGACUACUUGAGUCAGAUAAUAGUGCAUCUGAAUGUAUGAGUGAAGCAGUCACACUCCAGAUGCCAUAAGAAUUGAGGAAAUUAUUUGUAAUUAUAUAUAUUGUAAGCCUGCUGAUGUGAGAGGAUUAUGGGAUAAUUACGGGAUGAUUACUUUGAUGCCAUAUAUGAGAAUUUUAAUAGAAUGUACCAAGGCUCAAUGCAGAAAUAGAUUUCUUUAACAUUGAAAAGUAUAAACUAUCAUUUACAGAGCAUGGAAAAAGAUAUAAAGAAUUAUAAUUUGUCAAAUAUAGAAGAAGAUCAAACACAUCAAUCAAUCAAAAACUCAAGAGAAAUAACAGAUGAGAUGGCUAUAGAAAUACUUGAGGAAGAUAUUAAUGUGGUACAUAAAUUAAAUAUUGAGCAACUCCAUGCAUAUAAAAUCAUAUUGCAAACAGUGGACUUAAACACUAGCGGGGUCUUUUUUGUGGAUGGAUAUGGAGGGACAGAAAAGAUAUUUUUAUAUCGUGCAUUACUCGCAUAUGUAAGAUCUAUAGGAAUGAUAGCACUUGUCAUAGCAACAUCUAGGAUAAUAGCGUUUAUUAUGCUUGGAGGAAGAACUACACACUCACGAUUUAGUAUACCAUUAAGCCCAAUAGAGUCGAACAUGUGUAGUAUAUCUAAGCAAAGCGGACAGACAGAAUUAUUAUGCAUUGCAAAAUUGAUUAUAUGGAAUGAAGCACUGAUGGCAAAAGGACUAGCAAUAGAAAUAGUUGAUAGAAGCUUGAGAGAUAUAAUGGAUAAUUCUCAACCAUUCGGAGAGAAGGUAAUAGUGUUUAGUGGAGAUUUCAGGUAGGUAUUACCGGUGGUACCUAAAGCCUUAAGACAAGAAAAUGUUAGUGUAAGUCUCAUGAAAUCUUAUUUAUGGAGUAAAAUGGAAGUGCUAAAAUUAACAACCAAUAUGAGGGCUAGAACAUAUCAAUAUUUUGGAGAAUUCAUACUCAGAGUUGGUAAUAGAGAAGAGGUAGAAACAAAAGAAUGUAAUAUAAGAAUACCUGAAGAGAUGGUAGUGAAGUAUGAAAAUGAAAAUAACUGUAAAGAAGUAUUAGGUGAUGCAAUAUAUUCAUCAUUGGAGAAAAAUGCUAGAUUGGCAUAGUACAUGACAAAUCGUGUAAUCCUAACAACAAAAAAUGAAUAUGUAGAUAGUUUUAAUGAAAAGAUGAUAAAUAUAUUCUUUAGUAAAAGCGAUACUUAUACCAAUUUUGAUGAAACAAUAGAUAAUACAAAUAACUAUUACCAAGAGGAAUUCUUAAAUAUUUUAUUACCGAAUGGAUUGCCUUCGCACAAGUUAGAAUUAAAAGUGAAUUGUGCAAUGAUACUGUAAAAAAACCUAGAUCCUUCAAAUGGCCUAUAUAAUGGAUCAAGAAUGGUGUAUAAAAAUUUUAGAAAAAAUAUAAUUCAUGCAAAGAUAAUAGUAAGACGUGUUGAUAAGCAAAUUCUAUUACUAUUUUUACCUGCAGAAAAUAAAGAUGUCCUUUUCGUUUUAAAAGAAUACAAUUUCCUAUUUGUCUAUGUUUUGCAACGACGAUAAAUAAAGCUCAGAGAUAAAUAAUAUUAAACUUUGGUAUGUAUUUGAUACAUGAUGUUUUCUCUCCUAAACAAUUAUAUAUCGCACGAUCAAGGGAAGUAUUAAUUUCAAUUAUAAAAAUCAUUAUAAAGUCAGACAAUAAAAAAGAAAAAAGCAAAAAUGUACGAAGAACGUAGCAUAUAAAUAAGUGUUAUUAUCAUAAAAGUGAAAGAAUAUAAAAUAUAUAUUUAAAUAUAAACAAAUAUUUAGUAAUUAUAUUAAAAUAAUAUUAACUAUUAUAAUAAUUUUAAUAAUGGAGUAAACAUAUAUUUAAAAGUCAAUUGCUUGAUUACAAUAAUAACACGAAAGCAAAAAUCAUUAAAUGUGAUGUGAUUUUAUAUUUUAAUAUUAAUAUUAAUAUUUUAUUAUUUUUUAUGAUAAUUCUUCAACAAUUAUAUUAUAAAAAAAUGAAUGUAUUCAAUGAAUAUAAACAACGUGUAAAUCACGUUAAUUAAAACUAAUUAUUACAGAAGUGCUUUAUAAAAGUGGGAACUGAAUUAUUUAUGUUGUUAAACCUAAAUAUGGGCAGGUUAUCGUGGACCAAAUUGAAACAGAAUGGGUUAAAUUUAAAAUAUUGGUGAAUUAAUUUUGGUCAAUUAAUUUUAAUUUAUUUAUUUAUUCAUAUGCCAAUGAUAUAUUCAAUAAAUAUUAUUAUUUAAACUAAUAAGAAAUGUACUAUGUUAGUAUAUUAUUAAUGGUAAAAUAUAAUAUAGUCUCUAUAUUUAGAUAAAUUCUUCACUUUAGUCUUUAAAGUUUAAAAACACACAUAUUUAGUCGUUAACAUUUGAAUUAACCUAUAAUUUAGACUCUGCUAUUAGACUUACGGUUAAAAUGAUGCUAAUUUCAGAAAAAAAUAAGUUAAAUACCCUUUAUUAUAUAUUAUAAAUUAAUUUCUAAAUAUUAUACUUAUUUGUAAAUAUCUAUAUUUCUAUAAAUUAGUUCCUAAAUAUUUCAAUUGUUUAUGACUAAGUCCUUAUAAUUUAAAAAUUGAUUUCUAAAAUAUUUUUAUUGUUUAUAAAUAAUUUUAAAAAUAUUUUUUAAAUUGAUCCCUAAUUAUUACUAUUAAUUUAUAAAAAUAUUAGUUUAUAAAUAAUUGUAAUAUUAGUGCAUUAAUUUAAAAAGUAUAGCAACUUAUUUGUAAAUAAGUAUACUACUUAAGCACCAAUUUAUAAAUUUAUAUGUGCUUACUCAUAAAUAAUCAUUACAAUAGGGAUAAAUUAGUAAAAGUAUUAAAGUGAAUUGUAAAAAAAAUAAAAAUAUAAACUAAAGGACUAAACUGUAACUUUUACUAAACUUAGUUGAUUCUUUUGCAUUAAGAAUAUAAUAAAUGAAAUGUUAGUCGUUUUUAUACAAUUAACCGUAAUUUUAACUGUAAAUCUAAUGGUAAUUUGUAUGUUUAUUUAAAUGUUAAAAACUCAAUUGGUAGAUUUUAAAAACACAGACUACAACAAAAGAAUUCACUAAACUAUAAAAACAUAACUGUAAUUUAUCUUAUUAAUAAUUAUACAAUGUAAAAGUUUUUUAAAAAAUAUAUAAAAAUUAUAUUAUAACAUUGACUGUAAUAAUGCAGAUAUCAAUAAGACGAAAGAAGCUAGAUAAUAAAUGAAUUGUUCCUUACAAUCUAUAUCUCUUGACAAUAUACAACUGUCACAUAAAUGUUGAGAUAUGUGCUAACUUGAAGGGAGUUAAAUGUUUGUAUAAGUACAUCUAUAAAGGACAUGAUAGGAUCUCAGUUUGCAUGUCCCAUGAAGAUGAACCAAUUGAUGAAAUACAAUAAUUUCAAGAUACAAGAUGGGUGUCAGCUCAAAAAGCUAUACGGAGAAUAUUUAAAUUUAAGCUCAAUGAAAUAAACCCUUCAGUUUUAAAUCUACAGAUACACUUGCCAAAUUAGCAAAUGGUAUCAUUUUAGAAAAAUCAGAAUCUUAAGCAUGUUAUGCAAUGGGAUCAUAUAUCAAGAACAAUGUUAACAGAGUUCUUAAGAACAUGCUCACUUAAUGAAGAAGCAAGAGGACUAUUGUAUAGGGAAUUUUCAUAACAGCAUGUAUGGAGUCUAAACAGAAAUCAAGGCAAGUAAUAGGUUGUGUAAAUGCAGCGAAUCCGAUAGAGGGUGAAAGAUACUAUUUGAGAUUGCUUUUAAACUAUAUAAGAGGUCCAAAAUUAUUUGACGAUCUAUUAACAAAAGAAAAUGUUCAAUGCCCGAUUUAAAGAGUCAACUAUCAGAAGAGGACUACUUGAGUAAGAUAAUAGUGCAUCUGAAUGUAUGAGUGAAGCAGUCACAUUCCAGAUGCCAUAAUAAUUGAGGAAAUUAUUUGCAAUUAUAUAUAUUGUGAGCCUGCUGAUGUGAGAGGAUUAUGGGAUAAUUACUUUGAUGCCAUAUAUGAGAAUUUUAAUAGAAUGUACCAAGACUCAAUGCAGAAAUAGAUUUCUUUGACAUUGAAAAGUAUAAACUAUCAUUUAUAGAGCAUGAGGAAAGAUAUAAAUAAUUAUGAUUUGUCAAAUAUAAAAGAAGAUAAAACACAUCAAUCAAUCAAAAACUCAAGAGAAAUAACAAAUGAGAUGGCUAUAGAAAUACUUGAGGAAGAUAUUAAUGCAGUACAAAAAUUAAAUAUUGAGCAACUCCAUGCAUAUAAAAUCAUAUUGUAAAGGGUGGACUUAAACACUAGCAGGGUCUUUUUUGUGGAUGGAUCUGGGAGACAGAAAAGAUAUUUUUAUAUCGUGCAUUACUCGCAUAUGUAAGAUCUAUAGGAAUGAUAACACUUGCCAUAGCAACAUCUGGGAUAGUAGCGUCUAUUAUGCCUGGAGGAAGAAUUGCACACUCACGAUUUAGUAUACCAUUAAGCCCAACAGAGUCGAGCAUGUCUGGUAUAUCUAAGCAAAGUGGAUAGAUAGAAUUAUUAUGCACUACAAAAUUGAUUAUAUGGAAUGAAGCACUGAUGGCAAAAGGACUAGCAAUAGAAAUAGUUGAUAAAAGCUUGAGAGAUAUAAAGGAUAAUUCUCAACCAUUCGGAGAGAAGGUAAUAGUGUUUGGUGGAGAUUUCAAGUAGGUAUUAUCGGUGGUACCUAAAGCCUCGAGACAAGAAAAUGUUAGUGUAAGCCUCAUGAAAUUUUAUUUAUGGAGUAAAAUGGAAGUGCCAAAAUUAACAACCAAUAUGAGGGCUAGAACAGAUCAAUAUUUUGGAGAAUUCAUACUUAGAGUUGGUAAUGGAGAAGAGGUAGAAACAAAAGGAUGCAAUAUAAGAAUACCUGAAGAGAUGGUAGUGAAGUAUGAAAAUGAAAAUAACUGUGAAGAAGUAUUAGGUGAUGCAAUAUAUCUAUCAUUGGAGAAAAAUGCUAGAUUAGCAUAGUACAUGACAAAUCGUGCAAUCCUGACAACAAAAAAUGAAUAUGUAGAUAGUUUUAAUGAAAAGAUGAUAAACAUAUUCCAUAAUAAAAGCAAUACUUAUACCAGUUUUGAUGAAACAAUAGAUAAUACAAAUAACUAUUACUAAGAGGAAUUUUUAAACACUUUAUUACUGAAUGGAUUGUCUUCGCACAAGCUGAAAUUAAAGGUAAAUUGUGCAAUGAUACUGUCAAGAAACCUAGAUCCUUCAAAUGACCUAUAUAAUAGAAAAUGAAAGGUGUAUAAAAGUUUUAGAAAAAAUAUAAUUCAUGCAAAGAUAACAGUAAAAUAACAUAUUGGUAAGCAAAUUCUAUUACUAUUGUUAUCUGCAGAAAAUAAAGGAUGCCCUUUUUAUUUUGAAAGAUGCAAUUUUCUAUUCGUCUAUGCUUUGCAAUGACGUUGAAUAAAGUUCAGAGAUAAAUAAUAUCAAAUUUUGAUGUGUAUUUGAUACAUGAUGUUUUCUUUCAUAAUUAAUUAUAUAUCACACUAGUAAGAGAAGUAUCAAUGUCAACUAUAAAAAUUAUUAUAAAGUCAAAUAAUAAAAGUAAAAAAAAGAAAAAAUAUACGUAAUAUAUAAAUAAGUCUCAUUACCAUAAAAGUUAAAGAAAAUAAAAUAUAUAUUUAAAUAUAAUAAAAUAUUUAGUAAUUAUAUUAAAAUAAUAUUAACUAUUAUAAUAAUUUUAAUAAUGCAGUAAACAUAUAUUCAGAAGUCAAUUGCUCGUUUACAAUAAUAACACGAAAGCAAAAAUCAUUAAAUGUGAUGUGAUUUUAUAUUUUAAUAUUAAUAUUAAUAUUUUAUUAUUUUUUAUGAUAAUUCUUCAACAAUUAUAUUAUAAAAAAAUGAAUGUAUUCAAUAUAAACAACGUGUAAAUCACGUUAGUUAAAACUAAUUAUUUUAUAAUUUAUUUAUUUAAUAAAAUAUAUAUUCAAAAAUAUUUUUUUAAAUGGAUAUUCAAAAAUAUUUAAAACUUAGUAUUAGUUUUUUACAUUUUAUUUAAAUUUUUUACUUUUAUUUUUUUUUUAUAUCGAAAUUAAAUUAACUAUUUAUAACUUAAAUUUAAUUAAAAUUAAAAUUAUAACUGUAAAAAUUAAAAAAACCACUUUAAAACUAAAUGAAAACCAUUAAAAAUCUAAAAUCAUUUAGAACUAUUUUAAAUCCGACUGAUUUUAAUACUAUUCAAAAAAUAAAUAAAACUUUCAUUUUCAAACUGAAACCAGACCAAUAGCGGCCAUGGCCGCGUGUAGUUAAACCUUACCGUACGUUGCCUGAAAGAGCAAUCAACGAAAAUAAUUGUAAGCUGACCGUUUACUCUGUUAAAUAGUGAGGUUAAUCACUAGAGAAGCUAGACCGUGUGGUUACUCAAAUUGGGUUGACGGAUCAUCUAUUUCUCUUUCUUGGUUGCGCCAUUGGUCGAUCGAAGCAAAAAAUUUGUUGCCUUCCUCAUAUUUUCUAUGUAAAUCAAGCUUCUAAUCAUCAAGGUAUUCUCUGGUUUAUGCUUUUUUGAUCCAUAUGCAUAUUGGGUUUUCUCUCAUUCUCAUUUGAUGGCUUCGAUUUGUGAAAUCCUCUUCUAAGCUGAUAUUCAAUGUUAGUUUGAAAAUGAUUCUUUCCUUUAGAAGAGAGGUGAACUUGGGCUCAAUGAUCAAUUGUGUUUCAGCUUAGAAAAUUGUGAACUUAGGCUCAAUCACCUAUGGCAUUUAGAAAAGAAGGUAUAUAAAAACGCAAUUUAGGAAAAAAAAACGAAGUUUCAAAAGGGGUUCGUAAGAUGCAUUUGCUGGUUUGGAAGAGGUAGAUUUUCCUUGCCGUGUAAAUGGGUGAACUCGAGUCUUAUAUAAUUAGGGGUAUUUAAAAAUGACCCAUAAUUUGCUUCAAUUUAUCCGUAGUUAAACUAAAAUUAUACAAGUGUUGAUAGAUUGGGUUGGGUUAUUAUUGUUAUUAUUAUUUUUUCAAAUCAAAC
RNAcentral lists this long non-coding RNA (27733 nucleotides) under Manihot esculenta (cassava). RNAcentral's name for it is "long non-coding RNA (MESC_LNC010747)". Lineage: Eukaryota; Viridiplantae; Streptophyta; Magnoliopsida; Malpighiales; Euphorbiaceae. The record is from RNAcentral.